GAGAUUUAUCAGCUAAAGACAAGGUGAUACCAAAGUUAGCAAAAUUUAGAGAGCUGUGAAAACUGGAGGGCUUCUUUCUGGCCCUACAUUGCAAGUGCAUGAGCCUGGGCAUUUACACUCCAGAAAAGGAUGCCUGGGUGUCUGUGAGUAGCAGUCCUGCUCCCUGCAGCUCCCACUGGGAACAAUCUCCGUGCCCUGAAGGGAUGAUGCUAGUGAGUGCCAACUAGAAGAAAGCAAAGCAGAAGGCCUGAGGCAAGUGCCCAGAUUGAUGUCUAGCACAGUCUCCUGUAUCACUGAGCUGCAGAAGUAGGUUAGAAACUUGAGAGAGAGACUGUAGCAUUUCUAUCCAAAAUAGCAAGUGCUUUCUUGGGCAAUCCCUGACUUACUGCUGCUGUCUACCCAUUUCUCUUGGUCACUUCAGUCCCAUGGUUACUUUGGCUAACAUCCAAAGCCAAUCCCUGUCUCCUGCACCACCUAUGCAAACCUCAGGCUGAGAUGGAAGCUGAAAAGAUACUUGGAUCACAGGAGAGGGCUGGAGGCUUCUGAAGUCAUCACCAUAUUCCCUUUCAAAUGGCUGCAGCAGCAGACUGAGUGUUUUUCACAAGUUCAAGCUGAACAAAACAACAACAACAACAACAAAAAAAAUGGAAUGCAGCUACAGAAGCAACCCUGUACUUCUCAUGAAGAACACAAUGUCAGGAAACACAAACAGGCAACCACAGCAUCCCUCUGGAUCUGCAUAACUAGAAGUGAAAAUUUCCUUGCAUUCCAGAAUAAAACUUGGCAUGGUUGAGUUUAUUUAUGGCAAUGGAAUCUUUAAUGAGCCAUACUCUCCAAAGACACACUCUCAACUGUUAAAAGAAAAGUUGUACUCAUUUAAAAAGUCUUAUAUUGUUGAAAUAGAACUGCUUAACAUUUAAAAUAUAUUUUCUAAUUUUAGCUAUAUCAUACAAAUCUCAAACAUCUUCUAUUAGAAGCAAUAUACUCUCCAUUUUCUUAUUCAGGUUUUGUGACAUCUUUUCCUAUAAUUUCAGCUACAAAGAAAAAAUGAGUGACAGGUUUCAUAAUAUCAAAUCCUGAAAAGGAGGUGUUAAUUGGUAUUUAAGAAUUGCAGUCCAGAGCAUUCAAAAGUCCUAUUCGUUAUCUACUCACUUAGAAGCAAGAGGAUUUCUAUCUAGCACCAGUGGAUUUGAAUAGCAUAUGCAUCAUAGCUAUCAACAAAGACCACUCUAUAUAAUGGACAUAAUAUCUGUGUAGUUUACAUGGCAUUAAAUAUAUCUGUUGAUAGCCACAUACUAAAUUAAUAAAAAUUAUUUUAGAAAGAAAAAGUAGAAAGAA
RNAcentral lists this long non-coding RNA (1338 nucleotides) under Zonotrichia albicollis (white-throated sparrow). RNAcentral's name for it is "lncRNA (ENSZALG00000008145.1)". The record is from RNAcentral. Lineage: Eukaryota; Metazoa; Chordata; Aves; Passeriformes; Passerellidae.